GAUGAAGAACGCAGUGAAAUGCGAUACGUAAUGUGAAUUGCAAAUUCAGUGAAUCAUCGAGUCUUUGAACGCACAUUGCGCCCCCUGGUAUUCCGGGGGGCGUGCCUGUCCGAGCGUCAUUGCUGCCCUCAAGCACGGCUUGUGUGUUGGGCCCCGUCCUCCGAUCCCGGGGGACGGGCCCGAAAGGCAGCGGCGGCACCGCGUCCGGUCCUCGAGCGUAUGGGGCUUUGUCACCCGCUCUGUAGGCCCGGCCGGCGCUUGCCGAUCAACCCAAAUUUUUAUCCAGGUUGACCUCGGAUCAGGUAGGGAUACCCGCUGAACUUAAGCAUAUCAAUAAGCGGAGGA
Molecule: unclassified non-coding RNA, 345 nt
Filed under: soil metagenome
Description: partial contains 5.8S ribosomal RNA, internal transcribed spacer 2, and large subunit ribosomal RNA
Rfam family: 5.8S ribosomal RNA (bases 1-119)
Source: RNAcentral